GAUGAACGCUGGCGGCGUGCUUAACACAUGCAAGUCGAACGGAAAGGCUCCUGCUUGCAGGGGUACUCGAGUGGCGAACGGGUGAGUAACACGCGGGUGAUCUGCCCUGCACUUCGGGAUAAGCCUGGGAAACUGGGUCUAAUACCGGAUAGGACGAUGGUUUGGAUGCCAUUGUGGAAAGUUUUUCGGUGUGGGAUGAGCUCGCGGCCUAUCAGCUUGUUGGUGGGGUAAUGGCCUACCAAGGCGUCGACGGGUAGCCGGCCUGAGAGGGUGUACGGCCACAUUGGGACUGAGAUACGGCCCAGACUCCUACGGGAGGCAGCAGUGGGGAAUAUUGCACAAUGGGCGCAAGCCUGAUGCAGCGACGCCGCGUGGGGGAUGACGGCCUUCGGGUUGUAAACUCCUUUCGCUAGGGACGAAGCGCAAGUGACGGUACCUGGAGAAGAAGCACCGGCUAACUACGUG
This 465-nucleotide ribosomal RNA is filed under the name uncultured bacterium. RNAcentral describes it as "partial 16S ribosomal RNA". It matches the Rfam family "Bacterial small subunit ribosomal RNA", at positions 28 to 507 of the family's 1533-position model. The record is from RNAcentral.